RNAcentral lists this ribosomal RNA (441 nucleotides) under uncultured bacterium. Its description in RNAcentral is "bacterial SSU rRNA". It matches the Rfam family "Bacterial small subunit ribosomal RNA", at positions 339 to 796 of the family's 1533-position model. The record is from RNAcentral.
CUACGGGAGGCAGCAGUGAGGAAUAUUGGGCAAUGGGGGAAACCCUGACCCAGCAAUGCCGCGUGCGGGAAGACGCCUUUCGGGGUGUAAACCGCUUUUCUGCAUGAAGAGGAAGGACGGUAGUGCAGGAAUAAGUCACGGCUAACUACGUGCCAGCAGCCGCGGUAAUACAGAGGGUGCGAGCGUUGUCCGGAAUUACUGGGCGUAAAGGGCGCGUAGGCGGCUCGGUAAGUAGGGGGUGAAAUUCCACGGCUCAACCGUGGAACGGCCUUCUAGACUGCCGGACUUGAGCAUGGUAGAGGCAGAUGGAAUUCCCGGUGUAGCGGUGGAAUGCGUAGAGAUCGGGAAGAACACCAGUGGCGAAGGCGGUCUGCUGGGCCAUAGCUGACGCUGAGGCGCGAUAGCGUGGGGAGCAAACAGGAUUAGAUACCCGAGUAGUCC